RNAcentral lists this transfer RNA (70 nucleotides) under Evoxymetopon poeyi (Poey's scabbardfish). Its description in RNAcentral is "tRNA-Phe". It matches the Rfam family "tRNA". From Rfam's summary of the family: Transfer RNA (tRNA) molecules are approximately 80 nucleotides in length. Lineage: Eukaryota; Metazoa; Chordata; Actinopteri; Scombriformes; Trichiuridae. The record is from RNAcentral.
GCUAGCGUAGCUUAAGCUAAAAGCAUGCCACUGAAGAUGACAAUAUGGGCCCUAGAAAGCCCCGCCAGCA